GACGAACGCUGGCGGCGUGCUUAACACAUGCAAGUCGAACGGAAGGGCCUCUUUCGGGGGGUACUCGAGUGGCGAACGGGUGAGUAACAAGUGAGUAACCAGCCCUUGACUUUGGGAUAACUACAGGAAACUGGGGCUAAUACCGGAUAGGAGAUCCUGCUGCAUGGAGGGGGUUGGAAAGUUUCGGCGGUUGGGGGUGGACUCGCGGCUUAUCGGCUUGUUGGUGGGGUAGUGGCUUACCAAGGCCUUGACGGGUAGCCGGCCUGUGAGGGUGACCGGCCGCAUUGGGACUGAGAUACGGCCGCGACUCCUACGGGUGGCAGCAGUGGGGAAUAUUGCACAAGCGGUGGAAGCCUGAUGCAGCAACGCCGUGUGCGGGAUGACGCCCUUCGGGUUGUAAACCGCUUUCGCUCAUGACGAAGCUUUGUGUGACGGUAGUGGGUAAAGAAGCACCGGCUAACUACGUG
This 467-nucleotide ribosomal RNA is filed under the name uncultured bacterium. RNAcentral describes it as "partial 16S ribosomal RNA". It matches the Rfam family "Bacterial small subunit ribosomal RNA", at positions 28 to 507 of the family's 1533-position model. The record is from RNAcentral.